This is a long non-coding RNA of Pyrus x bretschneideri (Chinese white pear), 359 nucleotides long. RefSeq lists it as uncharacterized. The record is from RefSeq and is a predicted model, not a curated record. NCBI's taxonomy places the organism in Eukaryota, Viridiplantae, Streptophyta, Magnoliopsida, Rosales, Rosaceae. The transcript has 2 exons.
CAUUAGUGUUUGUGUCAUUCAACAAUUUCUAAUCAUCUUAUCACAUUUGUUUGUUAAAUUACAAGAUGUGGUGGGUCAUGUGAAGGGAAUGCAACGCUUAGAACCAAAACAGGUCAAUGAAAAAGUUGUGCACAGAUGUGACAUCGUUGUUGAAAAUCUGAGUUAGAAGAGGCAAAAUUUACACUUUGGGGAAAUGUUGCAAAGAACUUUUCUUCUCUGUCGCUAGAAGCUUUGUUGCUGCGGGUUAGUGCUGUUUUUACAAGUUUGGAAGUGAAGUUGUACCGGGGUAUUUAAUAUCAAAAAAUAAUAAUCAGUUUUACAUCAUUCUCUAAUAAAUUUAUUAUACAGUUUGUCUUAAA